Molecule: ribosomal RNA, 586 nt
Filed under: uncultured bacterium
Lineage: Bacteria
Description: bacterial SSU rRNA
Rfam family: Bacterial small subunit ribosomal RNA
Source: RNAcentral
CCUACGGGAGGCAGCAGUGGGGAAUUUUGGACAAUGGGCGCAAGCCUGAUCCAGCAAUGCCGCGUGAGUGAAGAAGGCCUUCGGGUUGUAAAGCUCUUUUGUCAGGGAAGAAACGGUCUACUCUAAUACAGUGGGCUAAUGACGGUACCUGAAGAAUAAGCACCGGCUAACUACGUGCCAGCAGCCGCGGUAAUACGUAGGGUGCAAGCGUUAAUCGGAAUUACUGGGCGUAAAGCGUGCGCAGGCGGUUAUAUAAGUCAGAUGUGAAAUCCCCGGGCUCAACCUGGGAACUGCAUUUGAGACUGUAUGGCUAGAGUGUGUCAGAGGGGGGUAGAAUUCCACGUGUAGCAGUGAAAUGCGUAGAUAUGUGGAGGAAUACCGAUGGCGAAGGCAGCCCCCUGGGAUAACACUGACGCUCAUACACGAAAGCGUGGGGAGCAAACAGGAUUAGAUACCCUGGUAGUCCACGCCCUAAACGAUGUCUACUAGUUGUCGGGACUUAAUUGUCUUGGUAACGCAGCUAACGCGUGAAGUAGACCGCCUGGGGAGUACGGUCGCGAAGNUUAAAACNCAAAUGAAUUGACGG